Molecule: ribosomal RNA, 520 nt
Filed under: uncultured Glomus
Lineage: Eukaryota; Fungi; Glomeromycota; Glomeromycetes; Glomerales; Glomeraceae
Also listed under: 1 other name
Description: SSU rRNA
Rfam family: Eukaryotic small subunit ribosomal RNA
Source: RNAcentral
AGCAGCCGCGGUAAUUCCAGCUCCAAUAGCGUAUAUUAAAGUUGUUGCAGUUAAAAAGCUCGUAGUUGAAUUUCGGGGUUAGUAGGUUGGUCAUGCCUCUGGUAUGUACUGGUCUCACUGAUUCCUCCUUCCUGAUGAACCGUAAUGCCAUUAAUUUGGUGUUGCGGGGAAUUUGGACUGUUACUUUGAAAAAAUUAGAGUGUUUAAAGCAAGCUAACGCUUGAAUACAUUAGCAUGGAAUAAUGAAAUAGGACGUUCGAUCCUAUUUUGUUGGUUUCUAGGAUUGACGUAAUGAUUAAUAGGGAUAGUUGGGGGCAUUAGUAUUCAAUUGUCAGAGGUGAAAUUCUUGGAUUUAUUGAAGACUAACUACUGCGAAAGCAUUUGCCAAGGAUGUUUUCAUUAAUCAAGAACGAAAGUUAGGGGAUCGAAGACGAUCAGAUACCGUCGUAGUCUUAACCAUAAACUAUGCCGACUAGGGAUCGGAUGAUGUUAAUUUUUAAUGACUCAUUCGGCGCCUUAC